GGUGGAGAGUGGCGCACGGGUGAGUAACACAUGGCUGACCCUGCCCCUCAGAGGGGGACCACCGCGUGGAAACGCCGGCUAAUACCCCAUGCUUGCGUCCGGGUUAGAGGCCGGAUGCAGAAAGGCCGAGGUGCUGAGGGAGGGGCCUGUGGACCAUCAGCUACUUGGUAGGGUAACGGCCUACCAAGGCGAGGACGGAUCGGGGCCCUGAUAGGGUGACCCCCCACACGGGCACUGAGACACGCUCCCGACUCCUACGGGAGGCAGCAUUAAGGGAUAUUGCGACAAUGGGCGAAAGCCUGACGCAGCAACGCCCCGUGGAGGAUGAAGGCCUUCGGGUUGUAAACUCCUUUUCUGUGGAAAGAGGAAGGACGGUACCACAGGAAGAAGUCUCGGCUAACUACGUGCCACCACCCGCGGUAAAACGUAGGAGGCGAGCGUUAUCCGGAUUUACUGCGUGUAAAGCGCGUGCAGGCGGUCUGGUAAGUCGAGCGUGAAAGCUCCCGGCUCAACCGGCAGAGGACGAGCGAAACUGCGAGGCUCCAGACAGGUACAGGCGUACCGAAUUCCAGGCGUAGUGGUGAAAUGCUUAGAUAUCCGGAGGAACACCAGUGGCGAAGGCGGUACUCUGGGCCUGUUCUGACGCUA
Molecule: ribosomal RNA, 648 nt
Filed under: uncultured organism
Description: bacterial SSU rRNA
Rfam family: Bacterial small subunit ribosomal RNA
Source: RNAcentral